UACCUACCUUCACUGGAUACACACACACAAAAAAAAUAGUUGAGAGAAAAACAAAGUGAGAGGAAAGAUCAAUAUUUUUAUUCUCUCUCCUGAUGCCAGAGAAGGCCAUCUAUGUUUGAAAUGGGGUCCACCUAUGGUUAUUUACCACUUUGUUUCCCUUGGACUGAUGAUAGAAGGAGCCAGAAGCAUAUUGCAAUCUUAAAUAUAUGCAGUGGCAUCCUUUCUUGGGAACCAAUUUUUUUGACAGCUAUUUAAAUAUUUGGAUAAUAUAUGAAUGAAAAUGAAUCAAUCAAAAAAUUCUUAUCAACCCGCACGGUGUAAGGCAACAGUGCCCCUAUGUGCAUCCCUCUUCCAAAUAACUAUUAAUUCUAGGUUCUCUGUGUUGGUUCCAGGCUUCUGUGCUCUUAUCUAGAGAAAAAUAUUACCUCUGAGGUUUUAGGUCAUCUGUUAAAUUGCCCAAGCUCAACCUGCAUCUUUUAUACAAAUAAUUUAAUAAGCUUAACUUUAACCGUCCAUUAGAUAUUCACUCACGUCCUUUCCUGAAACACAGAGGAUCAUCAUUUAAGCAUGCCAUGUUGUAAUAUUAGGAAGACCAGGUAUAAUCUUUGGGUUCAAUAUAUUAAACAAUGAACCAGAUUCUCUCCAGUGCCUUAGUCACUUCCUAGUAAUAGGUAAAAGAGUGCAUUAACUCCCUCAGGCCACUAGGGAAUCCUUUAGUGCAUCAGAGCUCCACACUGUACAUCAGAAUGACUAAGGCACUGUGAGGAAGAAAGUCCAUUAAGUUUUGUGGCUCACCCUCAUCCAGCUGUAGCCCUUUAAUACCUUAUUACAGAAUGACUUUUGGACUUGAAAUUUGAACAGAAUCAGGGACUCAGAAGGGAGCUUCCUCAUUUCCAAUAAGCUCCACUAAGUGCAUGGAUAUUACUUUCUCCCUCUUGUUUGGUGCACUUCUUACAGUGAAUAAUUUCCCAUUUUAUUGAAGCAAUAAGAUGUUCUGUUGUGAGCAGUGCUGGAUGAUGAUUCCAUUUCCUUGGUGCUGAAGCUACUCUUACGUUCUUGCCUUAUGAAUCACAGUGCAUUCAAGGCAUGCAAUAAUAAUCCCCUUCCAAGGAGCAGCCUGUACACUCUAGGGGGUAAUUAUGAAAUUGUCCUAUAUAAUUUUUCCCCAAAGAAAUAGAGGAAACAGGAGAAAUAAAAGCAUUAUGUAUACUGUUUAAAAAACAUCUUGAUACCUCUAAACAUGGGCACACAUCCAUAAUAUGCUCUUAUUGUGCACCUUUAAAUAUGUAUGCCUUUCUCCAUUAACUGACUGUGGUUUAAUAUUUUUAACAGUGCUCUUUGUAAAGAUGAUGUGGUUUGUGAGUCAAAUUUCAUGCUGAGUUUCAUAUACUCAGAAUUCUAAGCUUCUGGUGGUGUCACUUGAGAUUUUUUAUGAGAUAGUGAAUUACAUGAAAUUCUAGUAAUACCAGUCCCCACACCAAAUCAUUGCAAUAAGCACAUACCCAAGCAAUUUGCACAGACCCUGUUUAGAGCAUUGCAUCUUAUUGAGCUCAAUUGACAGUCUCAGGAGUUUGGGAUGCUACCAACAGGGCAUUUUGGAUUUCAUUUAUAUGAAACAAAAGGCAAUCUGGAAAUAGCUAAAUUUAUUUUAAGGAUUUUAUUCACUGAUGUCCCGUCAAAUGAAUUGCUUCAAAUCCCUAUAGCUACAGCUCAACUUCUGCACUUGCUACUCAGUAUUAAUAAGGUGGCAUGCUUGAUUCUUAUUGUUUUUAAAAAUGAGAAAAUUGGAGAGAGAAUACCAUUAUGUCAACUGUAUGGGACUCUGAAUCUUAAAGAUGUAGAUGAAUAUAAUCUUCUUUAGAAUUUAUAUACACCCAUAGAUAUGUAUUUAUAUAUGCAUACAUUUUGUACAAAUUUACAAUGGACUUUUUGUAUUCUCUUUUCUGUCGUUACAAGAAUGAGAUGGAAACCAAAUUGUUGUUCCAUCCUCUUAUCCAGAGAGGAUACUGAGAAGUCAGGUAUAUGCAUGUACGUAUUUCUCUGGGGUUAAAUCCGAAUGACUUUCUCUUUAUUUAAUGAAAGGGGAGAGUCUUGUUUGGCUCGGGGAGUUGGUAAUUAGAUAAGCUUCCUUUCCUAGUUAGUAACUCAAAUGUAGCAAUGAUAAUGAACUUGUGACCAUGCCUAUGUGGUCUAAAUAUCUAGAUGGAAAGCAAAAAUAUCUAGAGGAGCUUUAGAGCUAUCUAGACCACAAGCCUGGAUUGUGGCUUGAUUUUUUUUUUUUAUUUUCAGCCUAUAUGUUGUGUGGAAAUACAAUUUAUAUCUGCAUAGCUAAAGGUAAAGUGAAAAUAUGACCAUUAUCUGUUUAGUUUGGUAUGUAGUUUUUGGAAAAUAUGGAUAAAUUAGCUUUUUAAAAAACAUUUUGGCAUCUGACUUUUCCACCAUUUCUAUCUAUAUCAAUUGAAUUAAUUAGAUAAUGGUUAAAAUUCCAUUUUUUCCAUUAAAUGCUUUUCUGUGGGUGACAGUUGUGGAAGUUAAAGGUUAAAUUAGAACCAGAAACUUUAAUCUAGUCUGGUCAGGCUCCUCAGGUCCAUUCCCCUGUGAAUCUGGACUUUAAAUCUGAAUUUGAAAAACCACUCUUCUGGGCCAUGCUUCUUUUGAAAUUAGUGAUUGUGGCUCACAGAUGUUUUAGUUCAUAUUAGAAUGAACUGACCUAUCUAUAGAGGGGUAUUUAAUCAUGAAUUGAACAUCAGUCUGAUUUGGUUUCUGAUUUACUUGAUAACAUUUGAGAAACAGCUUUGAUGACUUGACAUCAAUACUUAUUAAUGUCACCAACCUAGUAAUACAAUUGGUGCCAUGUAGGAAUGCUUAGCUAAGAAUAAGAAUUUAAUUAACUUUAAUUGAGGACAAUGUCUUAUCAAGGUAGUUCUACCUGUUUGAAGCAGGGAUACUUGUGAUCUCAUUGGGUUGUUUUCAUAGGGAGAUUAACAACAAUAAUGACAAAAGCAACAGAAAAACUGAUUUUUGAACUCAAAUAUAUCCAACAGACAGAAUAAAACAGAUAUUAGAAUUCAUGGAAAAUUUGUUUUGCUUUUCUAUCAAUAAAAGAGUUUUCUUGUUUAAUUGGCUUUUUGGACACUAUUUCCUUAUUAGUUUAUAUAAUAUAAUAAGAUUAUAAAACUACUCUACCGUCCUCAGAGGCUCAAAGAAAUUAGUUUUUAUUUUUAAUUAUUUCUCAUCUGAACUUCUUCAAAACCAACUACAUCAAAAAAUGGAAGUUUAUAAAUUUUAGUAUCACCCAAUAAACUGAGUCCUGUCCAAUAAUUUAGCAGUCCUUUUAGGCAGAUGUUCAGGCUCUGUGGUCAUAUACUUAGUCACUCAGAUUUCCUCUUUUUCUGCCUUCUCUAAUAUAAUCAAGUAUAUGGGGAAAGGAUAUGAUUGACAUGAUUUUGUGGUGGUUAGGGAAAUGGGAAGCCUCACAUUCAUGUAAAUUCUUUGGGUCCUGCUGAACUCUGCUGCAAGUAGUUGAUUAGAAGUGCUCUCCAGUCUGAGAUGCUAUUGUCGUUUCUGGCUUUUGUGCUGACAUUCACCACUGCAGUCUUAAUGCCCGCCCCCCCCAAUCCCUUCCCCCCAGUCUCAAAUCAUCUCCCACAGGAGUAUGUAUAUCCUGCCAUCCUUAGGUCCAGCAGGACUCUCACACUUUGUUUUCCUGCAGAUAUAGGAACUUCUGGAUAUCCUUCAUGCCAUUAACCUACUACUGAGAAGCAUGGCAACACCUGCCACUGCCAACUCAGUUCAGCUGGUCCUGCUCCAUGUCAGAUGGUAUUAUGAAUUAGCCCUUACAGUUCCACUCUGGUACUUUCCAGAGGGGUGGGGUUGCCAUUAAGCCCGAAUCCUUGGGCUUCUCAAAAAAUAUUUACAUGUUUAUGAAGCACCAUCUCCUCUUUUUGUCUAUGGAAGAGAGAAGCAUAAAAGCUUUCACGGCUGCCUGUCUCACUCUUCUGUCUCAUUUUUUUCUCAGAAUUACCCCAGACUACAAGAAGCAGAUUUUCCUCUUAAUACCCCCUUUUAUCUACCUGAGAUUCCUUCUACUAUAGGUGACACCCACUUCUGCAAUGGGCUUUGUCUCUUUCCUGACUUCAGCCUAAUGACUAGCCUUUAAUGGCAAUUAGGGUGUAGGAGACAGAGAGAAGCUUAUUGAUAAGGGAUCCUAAAUUGGGAGAUAUUUGAAACAUACAAUGCUACCAUAGUAAACCUUUGCAUUCCUGAAAGGACAUUAACUCAUGAUUAAGGCCCUACUCUCCCCUUUCCUAGAAGGUGAGAGCUUGAUUAUUAACCUAUGCUUAUUUCUUUGUGACCUUCUACCCAAUCCCUCCACGUUUGGCUAGAAAAAUCUCCAUAUGGAUUGAAUCCUUUACUUUGUAUCACUAUUCGUUCUCCAAGAGGGCACAGCCUCUUCCCAAUACUGGUCCAUUACGUCACUCUAUCUCCAACCUUAGUAGCUGCAGAUUGCAUGCUAGAAAUGUUUUCCUUGAGCCAGGAAAACUUCUAGUGGAUGUUGAAUUCUGGAGUACAGAUGAAUAGCUUUCUUUACCAAAAGGUGGCAGGAAGUAUGGAUUGGUGCCACAAUGUAAUCUCUAACUAUGGUCUACUUCAAUCCCAGGAGGUAAAUAUUUUUCCACCUCAGUUUUUUGGUUCAAGAGAGGGGAUGGGUAUUUAUUCAGCUAGGUCUCACAAGAGGAGGUCUGACAAUGGACCUACUCAUGGGCCUUUCUGGGUUGACUUCAUUAAUUAAAUACUAGGUGGGUAUUGUCUUUCUUUUUAGUUGUUGAAGUCCAAUCUCUCUUUCCAAUAAUGCCUCUCUAAAUAUGACUCAGUCUGAAUUGAUGCUGUUAGUAUUGGGCAUUCCUCUCUGAAAAGUUGGUUCUACUUCUCAAAAAACUUUACAGACCAAGAAGGGGCUCUAGUGAUAGGUUUUCUUAUCCCCUCUUUUCUACUUUAUGCUGGCCAUUCUCUACCUGCAUCUACAAAUUUUCUCUCUCCCUAGGUCAUGGCUCUGACUUAGGAUUUUUAAUUUUAGCCUAAACAUUUAUAGUGACUCUUUGGUAAAAAAAAAAAAAAAAAAA
RNAcentral lists this long non-coding RNA (5123 nucleotides) under Canis lupus familiaris (dog). Its description in RNAcentral is "lncRNA (ENSCAFG00845003217.1)". The record is from RNAcentral. Lineage: Eukaryota; Metazoa; Chordata; Mammalia; Carnivora; Canidae.